CGAAAGGUUUGGUCCUAGCCUUACUAUCAACUAUUACCCAACUUACACAUGCAAGUAUCCGCACACCCGUGAAAAUGCCCUCGCCCCUCUCACACAGAACGAGGAGCUGGUAUCAGGCACCCUCCCCGCCCAUGACACCUAGCUUCGCCACACCCUCAAGGGCCCUCAGCAGUGAUAAACAUUGCGAAUAAGCGCCAGCUUGACGCAGUCAAAGUAAAUAGAGCCGGCCAAUUCGGUGCCAGCCGCCGCGGCUACCCCGUUCGGCUCAAGUUGAUACCCUCGGCGUCAAGCGUGGUUAAAGUGACACAAAUAUUAGAAUUAAACCCAGCCAAGUUGUCAAACACUCGCCUAUGGAAACCCGCACACGAAAGUUAUUCUAAAACACUUGAACCCACGACAGUUGGGGCACAAACUGGGAUUAGAUACCCCACUAUGCCCAACCGUAAAAUAUUAACUCACACCCCCACCGCCAGAGAAUUACGAGCUUAACCUUAAAACUCAAAGGACUUGACGGUGCCCCACCCACCUAGAGGAGCCUGUUCUAUAAUCGACACUCCCCGCUACACCUCACCACUUCUAGUAUAUCAGUCUGUAUACCUCCGUCAUAAGUCUACCAUGUGAACGCCACAGUGGACUAAAAGACCCCACCCGUCAACACGUCAGGUCAAGGUGCAACUUACGAACUGGGAAGCAAUGGGCUACAAUUUCUACCAUAGAACACACGAAAAACUGCAUGCAAUACAGUCAUUGAAGGUGGAUUUAGCAGUAAAAAGAAAUCAGAGAGUUCUUUUAAAUCAGGCGCUGGGGCGCGCACACACCGCCCGUCACCCUCUUCAAAUGCCCGUGCAUUAGAAGAGGCAAGUCGUAACAUGGUAAGUGUACUGGAAAGUGCACUUGGAUAACAAA
RNAcentral lists this non-coding RNA (906 nucleotides) under Anodonthyla boulengerii (Boulenger's climbing frog). RNAcentral's name for it is "12S ribosomal RNA". It matches the Rfam family "Bacterial small subunit ribosomal RNA". The record is from RNAcentral. Lineage: Eukaryota; Metazoa; Chordata; Amphibia; Anura; Microhylidae.